UAAGAGACGUAAUUGGAAUGUGAUGUGUAGCGGUGAAAUGCUUAGAUAUAUCACAGAACGCCGAUCGUGAAGACAGAUUACGAACUUAAUACUGACGCUCAUGCACGAAAGCGUGGGGAUCAAACAGGAUUAGAUACCCUAGUAGUCCACACGGUAAACGAUGAAUGCUAGGUGUAGGGGGUAUCGACCCCUUCUGUGCCGGAGUAAACACAAUAAGCAUUCCGCCUGGGGAGUACGGUCGCAAGAUUAAAACUC
Molecule: ribosomal RNA, 255 nt
Filed under: uncultured bacterium
Lineage: Bacteria
Description: partial 16S ribosomal RNA
Rfam family: Bacterial small subunit ribosomal RNA
Source: RNAcentral